Molecule: ribosomal RNA, 253 nt
Filed under: uncultured bacterium
Lineage: Bacteria
Description: partial 16S ribosomal RNA
Rfam family: Bacterial small subunit ribosomal RNA
Source: RNAcentral
UACGAAGGGGGCUAGCGUUGCUCGGAAUCACUGGGCGUAAAGGGUGCGUAGGCGGGUCUUUAAGUCAGGGGUGAAAUCCUGGAGCUCAACUCCAGAACUGCCUUUGAUGCUGAAGAUCUUGAGUUCGGGAGAGGUGAGUGGAACUGCGAGUGUAGAGGUGAAAUUCGUAGAUAUUCGCAAGAACACCAGUGGCGAAGGCGGCUCACUGGCCCGAUACUGACGCUGAUGCACGAAAGCGUGGGGAGCAAACAGG